UAGCGGAACCUGGUUCCGCUACACAGUAGCUGGCACUUGGAGUGCUUCUGGUGUUGUUAUCAGAAGGUCCUCCAUUGUGCAUGUAGCAAGACUCAUGCUGCAUUGUAGAAGGUCGUCUGUGGUUUGGUCUGUCAGAGUAAUUUACGCAGCGCAGCAGCAGUUGGGUGGAGUCAGAGGAACGCAGCACGAAGAGACAUCAGAGACGAUGGUAAAACUAUAUACAAGUAUAUACACUUCGGCAGAAAAAAGGAAAUCAAAGAUACAGAAUGGGGGACGCCUGGCUUGAGAGCAGUGUGUGCGAAAAAGACCUUGGAGUCCUCGUGGACAACAAGUUAAACAUGAGCAAACAAUGUGAUGCGGCUGCUAAAAAAGCCAACGGGAUUCUGGCCUGCAUCAAUAGGGGAAUAGCGUCUAGAUCCAGGGAAGUUAUGCUCCCCCUCUAUUCUGCCUUGGUCAGACCACACCUGGAAUACUGUGUCCAAUUUUGGGCACCGCAGUUGAAGGGAGAUGUUGAACUUCAUUUUGUUAGUUUCGGCCCAUCUCUCUAGUCUGUCAAGAUCGUUUUGAAUUCUGCUCCUGUCUUCUGGAGUGUUAGUUAUCCCUCCCAGUUUGGUGUCAUCUGCAAACUUGAUGAUCGUGCCUUCUAACCCUUCGUCUAAGUCAUUAAUAAAGAUGUUAAACAGAACCGAGCCCAGGACGGAACCCUGCGGCACUCCACUCCUGACUUCUUUCCAAAAUGAAGACGACGCAUUGGUGAGCAAUGAACCCUUUGGGUUCGUUUGCUUAGCCAAUUACAGAUCCACCUAACCGUAGUUUUGUCUAGCUCACAUUUUACUAGUUUGUUUGCCAGAAGGUCAUGAGGGACUUUGUCAAAGGCCUUACUGAAAUCCAGGUACGCUACAUCCACAGCAUUCCCUGUAUCGACCCAACUCGUAACUCUAUCGAAAAAAGAGAUCAGAUUAGUCUGGCAUGACUUGUUUUUGGUAAAUCCAUGUUGACUAUUAGCAAUGACUGCAUUUGUUUCUAAGUGUUUCUUAACUUGUGGGUCCCCAGGUGUUUUGACUAACAACUGCCAGAAAUCCCAGCCAGUUUACCAGCUGUUAGGAUUUUGGGGAGUAGAAGGCCAAAACAUCUGGGGACCCCAGGUUGAGAACCACUUGCCUAGAGAGUAUUGAGUUAGUAUUCCAAUGGAUAAAAGACAGGGUGCAACCACACUGUAGAAUUAAAGCAGUUUCAGUGCUGCUUGAACUACCAUGAUUCAAUGCUAUAGAACAUUGAGAGCUGUAGUUUUCCAAGAUCUUUAACCUUUUCUGCCAGAGUGCUGGUGUCUUAUCAGUCUAUAACCCUCAGGAUUCCAUAGCAUUGAGCCAUAGCAGUUAAAGGGGUGUUAAAUCACACUAAUUCUUUAAUGUAGGUGCAUCCUCAGUCACAAUCAGACAUUCAUCUUCAGAUGAGCAUCUUCAGCCAAUCAAAAUAUCAGAACUGAAAGAGAUGGUU
Molecule: long non-coding RNA, 1497 nt
Filed under: Anolis carolinensis (green anole)
Lineage: Eukaryota; Metazoa; Chordata; Lepidosauria; Squamata; Anolidae
Description: lncRNA (ENSACAG00000038026.1)
Source: RNAcentral